AUACGGAGGGUGCAAGCGUUGUUCGGAAUCACUGGGCGUAAAGGGCGCGUAGGCGGGUUGGCAAGUCAGAUGUGAAAUCCUACAGCUUAACUGUAGAACUGCAUUUGAAACUGCUAACCUAGAGUAUGGGAGGGGGGGAUGGAAUUAGUGGUGUAGGGGUAAAAUCCGUAGAUAUCACUAGGAAUACCGAAAGCGAGGGCGAUCUCCUGGAACAUAACUGACGCUAAGGCGUGAAAGCGUGGGGAGCAAACAGGAUUAGAAACCCUAGUAGUCC
RNAcentral lists this ribosomal RNA (274 nucleotides) under uncultured bacterium. Its description in RNAcentral is "partial 16S ribosomal RNA". It matches the Rfam family "Bacterial small subunit ribosomal RNA", at positions 523 to 796 of the family's 1533-position model. The record is from RNAcentral.